CCCUUAGAUGUUCUGGGCUGCACGCGCGCUACACUGAAGCGUUCAACGAGUAUUCACCUUGCCCGGGAGGGUUGGGUAAUCUUUUCAAAACGCUUCGUGAUGGGGAUAGAUUAUUGCAAUUAUUAAUCUUCAACGAGGAAUUCCCAGUAAGUGCGGGUCAUCAGCUCGCGUUGAUUACGUCCCUGCCCUUUGUACACACCGCCCGUCGCUGCCCGGAACUGAGCCGUUUCGAGAAGACUGAGGAUUGCUGACUUGAGGCCUUCACGGGCUUCUAGUCGGUGAAAAUCAAUUUAAUCGCAGCGGCUUGAACCGGGCAAAAGUCGUAACA
RNAcentral lists this ribosomal RNA (328 nucleotides) under uncultured eukaryote. Its description in RNAcentral is "partial 18S ribosomal RNA". It matches the Rfam family "Eukaryotic small subunit ribosomal RNA", at positions 1470 to 1796 of the family's 1831-position model. The record is from RNAcentral.